UUACGACCACAUCACGUUGAAACACUGUUUCCCGUACGAUCAGCGAAGUUAAGCAACGUCGAGACCGGUCAGUACCUAGAUGGAUGACCGCUUUGGAAUACCAGGUGCUGUAAG
Molecule: non-coding RNA, 114 nt
Organism: Acanthosepion pharaonis
Lineage: Eukaryota; Metazoa; Mollusca; Cephalopoda; Sepiida; Sepiidae
Source: the annotation of a GenBank genome assembly